This 835-nucleotide ribosomal RNA is filed under the name uncultured archaeon. RNAcentral's name for it is "bacterial SSU rRNA". It matches the Rfam family "Archaeal small subunit ribosomal RNA", at positions 21 to 859 of the family's 1478-position model. The record is from RNAcentral.
AGGUCACUGCUAUCGGUGUUCGAUUAAGCCAUGCGAGUCGUGAGGGGUAAAGCCCUCGGCGGAGUGCUCAGUAACACAUGGACAACCUACCCAAGAGUCAGGGAUAACCCCGGGAAACUGGGGAUAAUACCUGAUAGGCCAUGACAUCUGGAAUCGAGUUGUGGUUUAAACGUAAGGCUCUUGGAUGGGUCUGCGGCGGAUUAGGUUGUUGCCGGUGUAACGUACCAGCAAGCCUGUAAUCCGUACGGGUUGUGGGAGCAAGAGCCCGGAGAUGGAUUCUGAGACACGAAUCCAGGCCCUACGGGGCGCAGCAGGCGCGAAAACUCUACAAUGCAGGCAACUGCGAUAGGGGAACAUCGAGUGGCAUCCACCAUGGAUGUCUGUCCAAUCGUCUAAAAAACGAUUGUCAGCAAGGGCCGGGCAAGACCGGUGCCAGCCGCCGCGGUAAUACCGGCGGCUCGAGUGGUGGCCGAUAUUAUUGAGUCUAAAGGGUCCGUAGCCGGCUUUGCAAGUCCUAUGGGAAAUCCAGCGGCUUAACCGUUGGGCUUUCAUGGGAUACUACAUUGCUUGGGACUGGGAGAGGUGGGAGGUACUCAGGGGGUAGGGGGUGAAAUCCUGUAAUCCUUUGGGGACCACCGGUGGCGAAGGCGUCCUACCAGAACAGGUCCGACGGUGAGGGACGAAAGCUAGGGGCACGAACCGGAUUAGAUACCCGGGUAGUCCUAGCCGUAAACGAUGCUCGCUAGGUGUCACGGCAGUCGUGAAUUGUCGUGGUGCCGUAGGGAAGCCGUGAAGCGAGCCACUUGGGAAGUACGACCGCAAGGUUGAAACUUAA